GGUGUCAGAGCCAAAAAUGAGACGUUGAGUGUACUCAGCUUAAUUCAGAGUUUCGUCUCCCAGCUUUAGGUUUAAGCGCGUAAAAGCUUUCACGAUUUUCCUUAUUUAUACCUAAUAAGUGAACUUGAGACAUUAUUGCUGAAGAUGGCUUCGCAUAGCAGACUAUUAAUUAAAGGUGGCAAAGUCGUCAAUGACGACUUGAUGUUCACUGCUGAUGUGUAUAUUGAAGAUGGUCUAAUAAAGCAAGUGGGAAAAGACAUUUUUCCACCUGGGGGUUCAAGAAUUAUUGAAGCCAAAGGAAAGCUAAUUAUACCAGGUAAUUUGGCACUUUAUUCCUAACUUUCUUAACACUGUGACUCUAAUGUUUACUUUUAAAGUUUCACAACAGCUUUAAAAUUAGCUUACCUCUUUAAAGCAAAUGUCAUGUGCUCUGAAGGAAUUUGUCUAAACAACUAAAGGUAAAACUUAUAUUUCCUGAAGCUCUAACACUCGUACAGCAACAAAUUAAAUACAGGUUAUCUGAAAAUUCCUUAACUCCACAUACGGGGGGGGGGGAAGGUAGAGAACAUCAGUAUGAAGUGAAAGAGGAAAACUGGAAACAGUAACUGUGCAUAUCACUUGCAGAACUAAAAAUUACUCAUUUAUCUUACUAGGUUAACUCGUUAAAUACCAAGCCUAUUUUUCUUGAUCUAAGGCCUCUCCUUAGGGACCAGUGUGGUGUUCAACAUGUUAAAUAUUUUUCCAGGUACAUGAUUGAUUUUGUAACAUGAUGGAUAAAUGCAUAUGAAUGUUGAUGCUUAUCUUGGAUAUUUUUGUAGUGUAAUAGCUUAUUUUCAGAAGUAGUUAAAUUUCAUCUUUUGUAAAAAUUUUGUUUUGUCACUAGCAUUUCAGUGUAAAUGUUUUCUUGUCAGCUUUAAAAUGGAAUAAUACUUGUUUAUUAAUUGUAAUAAAAAUAUAAAUAUGCAAGAGAAUUUUUUUAUCAGCUGCAGUUGUAUGGUCAUGCUAAUCCAAUAAUUUUCUCUUGGUUGUUAACUGAUCUAGCUUCUAUCAAUAAAUUAUGGUCAUUUAUAUUUUUUUAAUAUUAAGCUUUUUUCCUCAAAUAUUUUAAUUGACACAAAAUUUUGUUUACCAUCUCUGCUCUGAAUAACUAUUGUUAAGUUUUAAUGUAAAAAAAAAAAAAAAAAAAAAAAAAAAAAAAAA
RNAcentral lists this unclassified non-coding RNA (1200 nucleotides) under Stegodyphus dumicola. RNAcentral's name for it is "dihydropyrimidinase-related protein 2-like, transcript variant X5". The record is from RNAcentral. Lineage: Eukaryota; Metazoa; Arthropoda; Arachnida; Araneae; Eresidae.